Molecule: small nucleolar RNA, 110 nt
Organism: Pistacia vera
Lineage: Eukaryota; Viridiplantae; Streptophyta; Magnoliopsida; Sapindales; Anacardiaceae
Product: small nucleolar RNA snoR126
Exons: 1
Source: RefSeq, a predicted model, not a curated record
AGGCAAUGAUGACUAGUUUACAUUUCUCGAUCCUGAUUUGAUCUUGUUUUACACGGAUCAAAGCAAUUAGAUGUUAAUUUGAUGACAGCAUUUGUGCGUGUCUGAGCCAU